UCGGAUUGAGUUCGGUUCGAUUCUUCGGAUCUGGGUUUUUUUGCCCGGACCUAGAUAUAUAUAUAUUUGGGGUGGAUUUUGAAAUCUCGAUAUUGUAAAAAAUAAUUCGUAGUUUAAGUCACCAAGUUACCGUUAGAGCAAAUAAAAAAGAGAGAAAUAAUAGAAUUUAAUUCAUGUUACCGUUAGAGUAAAUUAAAAAAAAAAAGAGAAAAUAAUAGAAUUUAAUUCAUGACCGUUGGGGACAAGACGAUCAAAUCUCCAGCCUCGCCUAUAAAUAAAGACCUCCUCUCUUACAGAACCUUACACUUGUCUUCUUCCUCUCUUACAGAACCUUAUGUUUUUUUCUUUCUUAAAUAUAUUAUAUUUAUACUUUCCCUAAAUUAGGGGCUUCGGAAAACAGAGAUCAACAACGAAACUAAUCUAAGCUGUUCACUGGUCCGAACCACCGCGAAUCUUCCCGUCCAUCAUCACGGUUUGAGAGGAGGGCGGCUCAGAUGAAGAAGAAACAAUGGAAACCAUACAAACUCUCCGCCGUCGCCAACCCACCGCAAAUCUUCCCGUCCAGCAUCACGCUUGCUCUGAUCGUUCUUCACGCGGUUUAUCAGGUCUUCUCUUUUCUUAUUAUACAAACUUUGUUUUUCUUUCUGCCAAACAUGUGUUCUCUGUUUUGAAUUGAAAUAUUUUUUUUUUUUAAAAACAUGUUUUUAGGGAAAUUUUGUAUAACUUGAUUGAUCAAUGGAGAGUUAAGUGUGAAUUUGUGACAACAUUUGAACAGAACACCCAAUCUUUGUAUCGUUAGAGGUUGUAAAUGUUUAUUUGGUUUAACACUUAUGAUCACUAAAUUCUUCUAAUCAACCUAGAAACUAUAAAAUUUUCCUUUUUUAAAAAUAAGUUUUCAAGGUUUUGGGGAAAUUUUUUAUAGAGCUUGAUUGAUCACGGAAAGUUAGUGUAAAUUUGUGAAAUAAAUAGAGUGGGCUAUCCGAUCACUAUAUAUGAUGGUUAGAGGUAUUAUCCUUUCUCCAGUCAUUGUGUUUGUAAGCUGGUAGUAUCCCUUUAUUUGGUUUAACACUUAUGAUCACUAAUUUUUUCAUAAUUGAUUAAAGCUAUUAUAAAAAGUUUCCAUUGUUUUCAGUUCUUUCUUUUAUUUGCCUUUUCCUUUUUUAAAAAUAAGUUUUCAAGGUUUUGGGGAAAUUUUUUAUAGAGCUUAUUGAUCAUGGAAAGUUAGUGUAAAUUUGUGAAAUAAAUAGAGUGGGCUGGUAGUAUCCCUUUAUUUGGUUUAACACUUAUGAUCACUAAUUUUUUCAUAAUUGAUUAAAGCUAUUAUAAAAAGUUUCCCUUGUUUUCAGUUUUUUCUUUUAUUUGCUUUUUCCUUUUUUAAAAAUAAGUUUUCAAGGUUUUGGGGAAAUUUUUUAUAGAGCUUGAUUGAUCAUGGAAAGUUAGUGUAAAUUUGUGAAAUAAAUAGAGUGGGCUAUCCGAUCACUAUAUAUGAUGGUUAGAGGUAUUAUCCUUUCUCCAGUCAUUGUGUUUGUAAGCUGGUAGUAUCCCUUUAUUUGGUUUAACACUUAUGAUCACUAAUUUUUUCAUAAUUGAUUAAAGCUAUUAUAAAAAGUUUCCCUUGUUUUCAGUUCUUUCUUUGAUUUCUUUCUUUUAUAUAUUUGCCUUUUGUUUGUUCCAUAUGAUCGACUUGUCGUUUUGUUGUUUCAGGAUUCCGGUGGAUGCUUGCUUUGAUUGAUGAUGAUGGCUGUUUUGGUGUUUGGUCCUUCUCUGUUGGCGGUUUGUCAGUUCAGCAUAGCCGGACUUAGAAGAAGAAGCUGUAACUGGAACUUGAAGAAAUAGGAGGAGAGAGGUCCAUUGAAGAUUAAAACCAAGUGUUGAAAGCUUCUGGUGGCAAGAGAAGGUUUCAAGCUGAGUUGGAUUAGCCUUGGCACAUAAGUUGUUUGUUAUCAUCAUCUUCUUGAGCGAUUGGGAAAACAGAGAGAGAGAGAUUAGGAGAUUGAGAGAUUAGAGAGUAUAGAGGAACUGAUUGAGUUGUAAUUUGUGGUGAGGGAAAUGUCUUGUACAAGUUGUAACCUUACAAAUUUCCACACCAGAAACGUUAUGAGUUGUGUUUCUGGAGUGUUGAAGCCUAAGGGAGUGAGGUUUCACCUGAAAUGGAUAUAACUCAUUCAUGUAUUGUCACCAUUGUUUUUGAUGAUAAUGAUUUUUCAAAAGUCUCA
Long non-coding RNA from Brassica napus (rape), 2216 nucleotides. RefSeq lists it as uncharacterized. The record is from RefSeq and is a predicted model, not a curated record. Lineage: Eukaryota; Viridiplantae; Streptophyta; Magnoliopsida; Brassicales; Brassicaceae. The transcript has 2 exons.